RNAcentral lists this ribosomal RNA (254 nucleotides) under uncultured bacterium. Its description in RNAcentral is "partial 16S ribosomal RNA". It matches the Rfam family "Bacterial small subunit ribosomal RNA", at positions 524 to 776 of the family's 1533-position model. The record is from RNAcentral.
UACGAAGGGGGCUAGCGUUGCUCGGAAUCACUGGGCGUAAAGGGUGCGUAGGCGGGUCUUUUAAGUCAGGGGUGAAAUCCUGGAGCUCAACUCCAGAACUGCCUUUGAUACUGAAGAUCUUGAGUUCGGGAGAGGUGAGUGGAACUGCGAGUGUAGAGGUGAAAUUCGUAGAUAUUCGCAAGAACACCAGUGGCGAAGGCGGCUCACUGGCCCGAUACUGACGCUGAUGCACGAAAGCUAGGGGAGCAAACAGG